GACGAACGCUGGCGGCGUGCCUAAUACAUGCAAGUAGAACGCUGAAGGAGGAGCUUGCUUCUCUGGAUGAGUUGCGAACGGGUGAGUAACGCGUAGGUAACCUGCCUGGUAGCGGGGGAUAACUAUUGGAAACGAUAGCUAAUACCGCAUAACAGUAGAUAUCGCAUGAUAUCUACUUGAAAGGUGCAAUUGCAUCACUACCAGAUGGACCUGCGUUGUAUUAGCUAGUUGGUGAGGUAACGGCUCACCAAGGCGACGAUACAUAGCCGACCUGAGAGGGUGAUCGGCCACACUGGGACUGAGAUACGGCCCAGACUCCUACGGGAGGCAGCAGUAGGGAAUCUUCGGCAAUGGACGGAAGUCUGACCGAGCAACGCCGCGUGAGUGAAGAAGGUUUUCGGAUCGUAAAGCUCUGUUGUAAGAGAAGAACGAGUGUGAGAGUGGAAAGUUCACACUGUGACGGUAUCUUACCAGAAAGGGACGGCUAACUACGUG
Molecule: ribosomal RNA, 495 nt
Filed under: uncultured bacterium
Lineage: Bacteria
Description: partial 16S ribosomal RNA
Rfam family: Bacterial small subunit ribosomal RNA
Source: RNAcentral